CCCUUAGAUGUUCUGGGCAGCACGCGCGCUACAAUGGUCUUCGCAAACGGAUGCAUUCUCGAAGGAGAAUGCCAAUCUUGGAAUCUAUGCCUUGGUCGGGAAAGUUGCUUGCAAUUUUUCGACUCGAACCAGGAAUUCCUUGUAAUCGUGAUUCAUCACAUCACGAUGAAUACGUCCCUGCCCUUUGUACACACCGCCCGUCGCUCCUACCGAUCGAAGAGUUAGGUGAAUUGUUUUGAUCGAUAAGAUUUGACUAUGGUCAACUCUCGUUGUGAAAUUCUGUGAAUCUGACUGUUUAGAGGAAGGAAAAGUCGUAACA
RNAcentral lists this ribosomal RNA (319 nucleotides) under uncultured eukaryote. RNAcentral's name for it is "partial 18S ribosomal RNA". It matches the Rfam family "Eukaryotic small subunit ribosomal RNA", at positions 1470 to 1796 of the family's 1831-position model. The record is from RNAcentral.